Molecule: ribosomal RNA, 481 nt
Filed under: Fiorinia sp. D4815C
Lineage: Eukaryota; Metazoa; Arthropoda; Insecta; Hemiptera; Diaspididae
Description: partial large subunit ribosomal RNA
Source: RNAcentral
UUUGAUGUUUCCGUCGCCGUGUCGGACGUCGCGACCUGUUCGCCCGUCGGUCCCUGCUCGGAGGAAUCGCGAUCGAGCUCGUUGCGCGGUACGCUUCGGCGUGUCGCGCGGCGAAGACGCGGCUCUCUGGCUGACGGCGGACAGUAAGCAACGGUGUCCGGCGUCGUGUCACGCACUCGACGUCGGUGCCGGUCUGCGACGAUUUCUUCGGGCCUCUUUCCGACCCGUCUUGAAACACGGACCAAGGAGUCUAACAUGCGCGCGAGUCGCGGGGUAUCGAGCGUGCCACCGGUGCGCUCGUUACGUGCGAAACCCGUACUUGAAAGGCGUAAUGAAAGUGAAUGGGGAAGAUGGCGUUCCGAGUCCACGUACCGUGAUCGAGUGUCGCGGCCGGACGUCCGCACUCCCGGGGCGUCUCAAUGGCUCGUCGCGGACGCGGACGAUCGUCUCUCGGGGCGGUCGUCGGUCUGCGUCGGACCGA